UAUAUAAUACAUAUAUAAAUUCAGCAGCCAGGAAGGGCUUGCUGGGAAAAGCGUGGCUGGAGGUUGCGUGUGAUGGAGGCUGUUUACAGCAGCUGGUGGGAGUGAUAAAUCUGGAGAUGCUCAGCGGGUUUUUCUUUCAGCCACAAACUGGCAGCUUCUGCAGCUGAACCGCAGCGAAACCAGGCCAGGUGGGAGCUGCUCUCGGGGACCCAAACCACCCGAAUUUGCGGUCUGCCCGGCCCUGUCUGGUCUGCACGUGGCUGGCUCCAAAAUCCUGGGACCUUUGCUCUCCUCCUCGCACGGGCCCAGCUCUUGAGACUGCUACCGGGGGUAAAAAGCUGAUAAAAGGGGGUUGGUUUGCAGGAGAGAUGGCAGCGGGCAGCGCGUGGGGCAGGGCGGGAGCGAUACGGCACGCUUAGCCGUGGGUUGUAGCUUAUAAAAGAUGCUUAUAAAAGAUGCGGCCAGAUGCUUGACAUGGCUCUGACACUGUUUAGUCUCCUGGUUUGGAGGACUCGGAUUGCUUUGGGAAAUGCAGCUCGGCUGCUUUUCCCCACGGACUGCGUGGCUGGGGUGGCCGCGGAUGUUUCCAUGAUUCAGAGGAACCCACUUCAAAAACCAAGCAGCCCGGCACGUGAAGCCCUCGUGGCUCCCCGGAGCGCUCACACGUCAGGCUGCGGGGCAGGGACCGGGCGGUCACCUCCCUCCCGACCCCCUGUGGGGGCUUUGCCAUCACAGCAGGUUAUAUGGGCAUAGGGGAAAGCCCUUGGUAAUUUUUGGCUUCGAUAAUUUUUUUCGGCUUUGAUGAUUUUUUUCACGGGGUGGCACAUCUCCAGUCCGGGGCACUGCUCUGUGGGUACCGAAUCCCUCCCGCCAGCAUCCGUGGCGCUGGCAGAGCCCUCACGGCCAAAUUUCCCUGCUUGGGGAAAAAAGUGAUUUUGUCUUCACUCAGCACGCAGCAGUCGUACAGGGAGAGGAAGCUGGGAAAACACAACCCUGCGUGCCUCAGCUGGAUGCUCUUAGCGGGGAGGACUUUCUCCGGGGGCGAGCGCCGGGGCGGCGGGGGCUCGCCGUGCGCACGCAGCCCCGGAGCAAACAAACAAGCGGCGGCCUUGGAGGGUUUGCUCUCGUGCCGGGCGGCGGCGGCUGUAUUUUUAGCUCCCUGCCCUCGCAGGGUUCACACAAAUGUCCCCCUUGUGCUUUCAAGCAGCCGGAGAUCCUCUUGCCAAGCCCGCCGGGUGUCCCCGCGGUUCGCUUUCCCAGCGCGGAGCAUCCCCGCCAUGUCCCCCCCGGGGCCGCCGGCUGAGCUGUGCCUCUGCCUCCCGUGUUCCUCCCUCCUGCAUCAGGAGCCGUGGCCAGGUACGGGUGGGACAGGGAGCCCAGAGGAGCAAAAGCCCCCAAUAAGCCAAAAGGCAGCACUUCUGGAGGUGCUGGGGGGGACCUCGACCGCUGCGGGGCUGCACGGAGCCACCAAAAUCCAGGAAAAUGAAAAUAAACAUAAAUAUCAUUCAUACAUUGCAAAAAAAAAAGCUGAAAAUA
Molecule: long non-coding RNA, 1536 nt
Organism: Cygnus olor (mute swan)
Lineage: Eukaryota; Metazoa; Chordata; Aves; Anseriformes; Anatidae
Exons: 2
Source: RefSeq, a predicted model, not a curated record